UGGGGAAUAUUGCACAAUGGGCGAAAGCCUGAUGCAGCAACGCCGCGUGAGGGACGACGGCCUUCGGGUUGUAAACCUCUUUUAGCAAGGAAGAAGCGAAAGUGACGGUACUUGCAGAAAAAGCGCCGGCUAACUACGUGCCAGCAGCCGCGGUAAUACGUAGGGCGCAAGCGUUAUCCGGAAUUAUUGGGCGUAAAGAGCUCGUAGGCGGUUUGUCGCGUCUGCUGUGAAAACCCGAGGCUCAACCUCGGGCCUGCAGUGGGUACGGGCAGACCAGAGUGCGGUAGGGGAGAUUGGAACUCCUGGUGUAGCGGUGGAAUGCGCAGAUAUCAGGAAGAACACCGAUGGCGAAGGCAGAUCUCUGGGCCGUAACUGACGCUGAGGAGCGAAAGGGUGGGGAGCAAACAGGCUUAGAUACCCUGGUAGUCCACCCCGUAAACGUUGGGAACUAGUUGUGGGGUCCAUUCCACGGAUUCCGUGACGCAGCUAACGCAUUAAGUUCCCCGCCUGGGGAGU
RNAcentral lists this ribosomal RNA (516 nucleotides) under uncultured bacterium. RNAcentral describes it as "partial 16S ribosomal RNA". It matches the Rfam family "Bacterial small subunit ribosomal RNA", at positions 355 to 881 of the family's 1533-position model. The record is from RNAcentral.